This 253-nucleotide ribosomal RNA is filed under the name uncultured bacterium. Its description in RNAcentral is "partial 16S ribosomal RNA". It matches the Rfam family "Bacterial small subunit ribosomal RNA", at positions 524 to 776 of the family's 1533-position model. The record is from RNAcentral.
GACGAACCGUGCGAACGUUGUUCGGAUUCACUGGGCUUAAAGGGCGCGUAGGCGGCGGCUCAAGUCGGGGGUGAAAUCCUUCCGCUCAACGGGAGAAUUGCCUUCGAUACUGGGUCGCUGGAGGGGGAUAGGGGUGCGCGGAACUUCCGGUGGAGCGGUGAAAUGCGUAGAUAUCGGAAGGAACGCCGGUGGCGAAAGCGGCGCACUGGAUCCCUACUGACGCUGAGGCGCGAAAGCCAGGGGAGCAAACGGG